CCUAUGCUUAGCUUAGUAGCCCUUGACGAAUUCCUUAAAAAGGAUCUUCCAGCCCCUCGCAUUUUUAGGUGAAAGCUUUUUGCCAUUGCGUAAUGCCUUUUUGCUUUCUGUAAAUUCAAGAUAAAGAUGAUUUUCGCUUAGCCCGCCCUUAGCUCUCAGUGUGAAGUCUUUGAUUGUUUAUUGCUUUCUCUAAUGCUAGCUCUCGAUUGAUAGAGUCUAGUCAAAAAAGGACCAACGACAAUGAAGGAGAAGAAGGAGCUUCUUUCAACUAUUAAGUGCUAUCUUUCUAAACUAAAAAAAAAGUCUUUCGCCUUAGUAAGCUAGCUUACUAAGCCCGGGUAGAACGUGGAUCGAUCAUGACGAGAAUGGACUUCUCCGUAAUGUAAUAGAAGAGUCACAGUCCCUUCUCGACCAGACGAAUUCCAUUCAGGCUUGGCUUGACCCUCCUAGAGGCGCAAAGUUCAUCAUUCAGUGUGGUGGGGCCUGGCAGAUUUGGAUGUUGGUAUCGUAUAUAAGAGAACGGCUGCAUUUAGGACAAUUUUCCCAAGGAAACCAUCAGGCACAUUUCGAUGUCACUUAUUAAAGCAAUAACCCCGCCUUCAGAAGAAGACUAGGUAGAAAAAGAUCUUCUUACCCGUAGUAGCAACAAUCAGGAACACUACUUCUAUAAGAUGAUUAUCGCCAUUUUCCUUACUAUAGGGGCAUUGACUUCAGUCUCAACUAGACCAAGACCCAAUAAAGCUUGAAAAAGCAGGAUUUCUUGAAUGGAAAGAACAAAACGGAAAGGACAACCAAACGAAACCGCUAACAGCAGAGGGCAGUAUCUAUAUAUAGUAGAGCUCGCUUACCAGACGAAACCAGGCCUUUAAGGCUGGAGUGGAAGGGAGAGUAGACCCGAGAGCUGCCAUAGUCAUUUUUAUUAUAGCACCAGCCCUUAUCGAGACAAGAGACCAUACAUUAACUAUGGCAAGAACAUUCAAUGCGAUCUCCCUUCCUCAAAGAAAGGAGAAGAAGUUAUCGAACAGUGUCUUAUAGAAAGAGUAUAAAUAACAUCGCCAAACAAAAGUCAAUCAACGAAGCCGGUAAGGAACGGAAUUUACAAAAUGCACCAGUGAAAAAAUAAAAGAUUUUUUGUGUUUCGCAAUGAAUCCCCUUUGCUUUCUCUAUUUAUAGAGUAAGCGCGAGGGUUGCGUAGCGAAAUGUAGUAGAAAUACAGCAUUGGACAGCAAUCAUGAGGCAAUGACAUUCUCGAUGAAAGCAAAGAGUUGACCUGGGAGCCCUCAACUGAAUGCGCCUUACCGG
This 1302-nucleotide long non-coding RNA is filed under the name Theobroma cacao (cacao). Its description in RNAcentral is "long non-coding RNA (TCAC_LNC001026)". Lineage: Eukaryota; Viridiplantae; Streptophyta; Magnoliopsida; Malvales; Malvaceae. The record is from RNAcentral.